UACGUAGGGAGCAAGCGUUGUCCGGAAUCAUUGGGCGUAAAGCGCGCGUAGGUGGCCUCAUAAGUCCGCUGUGAAAGUCAAAGGCUCAACCUUUGAAAGCCGGUGGAUACUGUGGGGCUAGAGUACGGAAGAGGCGAGUGGAAUUCCUGGUGUAGCGGUGGAAUGCGCAGAUAUCAGGAGGAACACCAAUAGCGAAGGCAGCUCGCUGGGACGUUACUGACACUGGGGCGCGAAAGCGUGGGGAGCGAACAGG
Molecule: ribosomal RNA, 253 nt
Filed under: uncultured bacterium
Lineage: Bacteria
Description: partial 16S ribosomal RNA
Rfam family: Bacterial small subunit ribosomal RNA
Source: RNAcentral